This 620-nucleotide ribosomal RNA is filed under the name uncultured bacterium. RNAcentral describes it as "bacterial SSU rRNA". It matches the Rfam family "Bacterial small subunit ribosomal RNA", at positions 116 to 716 of the family's 1533-position model. The record is from RNAcentral.
CGUAGGUAAUCUACCUUCGGGUGGGGAAUAACGCAGGGAAACUUGCGCUAAUACCGCAUAAUGCAGCGGCACCACAUGGUGACAGUUGUUAAAGCGGGGGAUUUUCGGACCUCGCGCCUGAAGAGGAGCCUGCGGCAGAUUAGCUAGUUGGUAGGGUAACGGCUUACCAAGGCGACGAUCUGUAGCCGGCCUGAGAGGGCGGUCGGCCACACUGACACUGACAUACGGGUCAGACUCCUACGGGAGGCAGCAGUCGGGAAUUUUGGGCAAUGGGCGAAAGCCUGACCCAGCAACGCCGCGUGAAGGAUGAAAUCCUUCGGGAUGUAAACUUCGCAAGAAUGGGAAGAAUGAACGAGCGCUAACACCGUUCGUGAUGACGGUACCAUUUGUAAGCUCCGGCUAACUCCGUGCCAGCAGCCGCGGUAAUACGGGGGGAGCAAGCGUUGUUCGGAUUUACUGGGCGUAAAGGGCGCGUAGGCGGCCAGCGCAAGUCAGUUGUGAAAUCUCCGGGCUUAACUCGGAAAGGUCAACUGAUACUGCGCGGCUAGAGUGCGGAAGGGGCAACUGGAAUUCUCGGUGUAGCGGUGAAAUGCGUAGAUAUCGAGAGGAACACCUGCGGC